UACAGAGGUCUCAAGCGUUGUUCGGAUUCAUUGGGCGUAAAGGGUGCGCAGGCUGUGUGGUAAGUCGGGUGUGAAAUUUAGGAGCUUAACUCCUAAACUGCACCUGAUACUGCCAUACUAGAGGACUGUAGAGGAGAUUGGAAUUCACGGUGUAGCAGUGAAAUGCGUAGAUAUCGUGAGGAAGACCAGUGGCGAAGGCGAAUCUCUGGGCAGUUCCUGACGCUCAUGCACGAAGGCUAGGGGAGCAAACGGG
This 253-nucleotide unclassified non-coding RNA is filed under the name uncultured Verrucomicrobiota bacterium. RNAcentral's name for it is "uncultured Verrucomicrobia bacterium contains 16S-23S intergenic spacer region". It matches the Rfam family "Bacterial small subunit ribosomal RNA", at positions 524 to 776 of the family's 1533-position model. Lineage: Bacteria; Pseudomonadati; Verrucomicrobiota. The record is from RNAcentral.